AAACUAACCAGGAUUCCCCUAGUAACGGCGAGUGAACCGGGAUUAGCCCAAACUUAAAAUCUCUUCGGAGAAUUGUAGUCUAGAGAAGCGUCCUCAGGGGCGGUCGGUCUUGAAUUCCGUUGGAAGACGGAGUCAAAGAGGGUGAAAACCCCGUCGAGACUUGGCUUAGCCCCCCCACGAGGUGCUUUCCUCGAGUCGGGUUGCUUGAGAAUGCAGCCCAAAGUAGGAGGUAAAUCCCUUCUAAGGCUAAAUACUGGCGAGAGACCGAUAGCGAACAAGUACCGUGAGGGAAAGAUGAAAAGAACUUUGAAAAGAGAGUUAAAAAGUGCUUGAAAUUGUUGAGAGGAAAGCGUUUGCAAGCCGUGUAUGCACCUGGGCUGAUGGGCCUUUAACGAGGUCAUGUAAGUGCCAGACGCUGGUCAAUGUGGGUUCGAUCGGAGGUACAAAGCCAUAGGGUGAUCCCUGGGUGUAUACCCCCGAUUGGACCAAGGCUUGAAUGCUGCUUUGUCCUAUGGAACUGCUGCAUCAAGACAUUGGCAGAAGGCUUUCAAACGGC
RNAcentral lists this ribosomal RNA (556 nucleotides) under Chlamydomonas moewusii. Its description in RNAcentral is "eukaryotic LSU rRNA". It matches the Rfam family "Eukaryotic large subunit ribosomal RNA", at positions 62 to 648 of the family's 3401-position model. The record is from RNAcentral. Lineage: Eukaryota; Viridiplantae; Chlorophyta; Chlorophyceae; Chlamydomonadales; Chlamydomonadaceae.